Molecule: non-coding RNA, 69 nt
Organism: Podarcis lilfordi (Lilford's wall lizard)
Lineage: Eukaryota; Metazoa; Chordata; Lepidosauria; Squamata; Lacertidae
Source: the annotation of a GenBank genome assembly
GCUGUCGCUCAGUGGUAGAGCACAUCCCUUGCAUGCCAAAAGAUCCAGGUUCAAUUCCUGACAUCUCCA